AAUUAUUCCAAAAGGAUAUCUGUUUCCCCUGUUUGUGUCACUGGAAAAGUUGAUAUAUAUAACCUCAUGAAGUAUUUUAGCAGUGUCUACAUGUUUGAACUUUCUUUUGUAAAUAAAGUGCUGUACUAGAUCACAUCAGUUAAGAUAUCAUGAAGGUCUAUUCCUUGACCUAAUCUAAAGCUCAUUUGACUGAUUUAAGUGGGAUUAGCUUGUGGAGCAUGUUGUAGUUCAAUCGUGAAUCAGGUGUCUUACUGCAUAUACAUGACUGAAUGGUGUGACAGUUACAAUUGUAUCCUUAACCAAGCCAAGGUCUUGGAUUUUGCUUUCUGCAGUGAUAGUCUCUAGGUGCUGUGUCUGAAAUCUGAAUCAUCAUACAACCUUGGUGCUUUCUGGGCCUUCAUGUGAAUCCAUAAAGUGGACUUUUAACCUUCACCCCACACGACUACUGCAUGUGAUUCAUGAUUGCUCUCUUACCAAGCAUACUUUUGUUUAGAAUGCUCCCUGGUUGCAUGGCUACUGCGCCAUUGCAUGGGCGAAAGGGAGGGCAAGCGGAAGCAAGACGGUCUUUUCACGCCUGACUGUGUUUAGGCAUAGAGGACCCGAUCUGGGAGUGUUCUCUUUCCCUUUUGUUUAUUUCUUUUCGACAUCUUUAUCUCCUCGAACCUUAUACUAAAAAGCAUUUCUUUUGUAAAUUAAGAAUUGGCAAGUGGGAUGGAAACCUGUGGUCAAGCUAAUCAAGUUGAUUUAUUUUAAGCAA
Long non-coding RNA from Macadamia integrifolia, 757 nucleotides. RefSeq lists it as uncharacterized. NCBI's taxonomy places the organism in Eukaryota, Viridiplantae, Streptophyta, Magnoliopsida, Proteales, Proteaceae. The record is from RefSeq and is a predicted model, not a curated record. The transcript has 2 exons.